Molecule: non-coding RNA, 73 nt
Organism: Canis lupus familiaris (dog)
Lineage: Eukaryota; Metazoa; Chordata; Mammalia; Carnivora; Canidae
Source: Rfam
ACCUGGCCGGCUCAGUUGGAAGAGCAUACAACUCUCGAUUUCAAGGUCAUGAGUUCAAGCCCCAUGCUGGGUG